RNAcentral lists this ribosomal RNA (431 nucleotides) under uncultured bacterium. RNAcentral's name for it is "partial 16S ribosomal RNA". It matches the Rfam family "Bacterial small subunit ribosomal RNA", at positions 29 to 507 of the family's 1533-position model. The record is from RNAcentral.
AACGAACGCUGGCGGCAGGCUUAACACAUGCAAGUCGAGCGCCCCGCAAGGGGAGCGGCCGACGGGUGAGUACCGCGUGGGAACGUACCUUUUGGUUCGGAACAACUCCGGGAAACUGGAGCUAAUACCGGAUAAGCCCUAACGGGGAAAGAUUUAUCGCCGAAAGAUCGGCCCGCGUCUGAUUAGCUAGUUGGUGAGGUAACGGCUCACCAAGGCGACGAUCAGUAGCUGGUCUGAGAGGAUGGUCAGCCACACUGGGACUGGGACACGGCCCCGACUCCUACGGGAGGCAGCAGUGGGGAAUAUUGGACAAUGGGCGCAAGCCUGAUCCAGCCAUGCCGCGUGAGUGAUGAAGGCCUUAGGGUUGUAAAGCUCUUUUGUCCGGGAAGAUAAUGACUGUACCGGAAGAAUAAGCCCCGGCUAACUUCGUG